Molecule: ribosomal RNA, 98 nt
Filed under: Salmonella enterica
Lineage: Bacteria; Pseudomonadati; Pseudomonadota; Gammaproteobacteria; Enterobacterales; Enterobacteriaceae
Description: partial 23S ribosomal RNA
Rfam family: Bacterial large subunit ribosomal RNA
Source: RNAcentral
GGUUAAGCGACUAAGCGUACACGGUGGAUGCCCUGGCAGUCAGAGGCGAUGAAGGGCGUGCUAAUCUGCGAUAAGCGCCGGUAAGGUGAUAGGUGAUA